AUGGCUUCCUCCGCGGACAGCUCCGAGGAGGAAGAGAAGCGGCAGUGCUGCAUCCCUGAAGCGGCGGACCGCCCCCUGCGACACCCCCUCGCCUGCAGCGACAGCAUCCGCCUCGUCGACGACCACUGCGCCCCCCAAAUGCUCGCCUAUAGCCGCCGCCAUUACCGAGGCGAGGUGUGCAGCAAGGUCGACAUCUCGAGCCAACCUUCCUGGGCUGCAGGCGCCACUGUUCUGCCAAUCCGCGGUUAUCGAUUCAUUUGGGCUGUUGCUUGUCUCACACAGUUAGCGAGUUCUUUUUCCAAUGGAGGAUGUCCAGGCUUGGAGUGCAUUUCUAGUGUUGAUUCAUUUCAAGAAGAUACAUAUGAGUCAAGCUUCGAAAUAUCUCCAACAGAGUUAGUAGAAUCAAUCUUAACUCUACCUGAAAGAUCCAGGGAGGGACUGAAAGGAAGAUUGUAUGAAUCUGAUGCAAACGGAAGCAGAGUACUAACUCAUGAAGCUGUUUCAAAACCUCUUGACGAAGUUCCAUCCUUUUCGACAAUUCUUCGAGUGAAAGUUAUGUUAGACAUUAAUGGUGGUAAGUGCUCCUACAUUCUCACAAGUAAACAUCAAGAUAUUGUCAAAGCUCUUAAAUGGAAGCCAUUCAGUUUGAAAAUGGCCACAGUUCACUGCAAGAGAGGGACAUGCGUCUCGUCAGCAUCAUAUCCUGGCCACAAUGCAUCAGUAAAGUCAGAGGCCUUGAAUAAUCUGAGGAACCUUAUGAUGAUAGUGGCACUGCAAUUCGGCACAACCAAAAUGGCCGGAGAUUUGGAUUUUCUCUUCCAAAUAGUGACAACAGAAUGUGGACUGGAAAUAUUGAAGACCUCAGCUUGA
This 870-nucleotide ribosomal RNA is filed under the name Triticum aestivum (bread wheat). RNAcentral describes it as "partial small subunit ribosomal RNA". Lineage: Eukaryota; Viridiplantae; Streptophyta; Magnoliopsida; Poales; Poaceae. The record is from RNAcentral.